GAUGAAGAACUUAGCGAAAUGCGAUAAGUAAUGUGAAUUGCAGAAUUCAGUGAAUCAUCGAAUCUUUGAACGCACAUUGCGCCCCCUGGUAUUCCGGGGGGCAUGCCUGUCCGAGCGUCAUUACAACCCUCAAGCUCAGCUUGGUAUUGGGCCCCGCCGACCCGGCGGGCCCUAAAGUCAGUGGCGGUGCCGUCCGGCUCCGAGCGUAGUAAUUCUUCUCGCUCUGGAGGUCCGGUCGUGUGCUCGCCAGCAACCCCCAAUUUUUUUCAGGUUGACCUCGGAUCAGGUAGGGAUACCCGCUGAACUUAAGCAUAUCAAUAAGCGGAGGA
This 329-nucleotide unclassified non-coding RNA is filed under the name soil metagenome. RNAcentral describes it as "partial contains 5.8S ribosomal RNA, internal transcribed spacer 2, and large subunit ribosomal RNA". The stretch from base 1 to 120 matches the Rfam family "5.8S ribosomal RNA", at positions 35 to 154 of the family's 154-position model. The record is from RNAcentral.